Molecule: ribosomal RNA, 446 nt
Filed under: uncultured bacterium
Lineage: Bacteria
Description: bacterial SSU rRNA
Rfam family: Bacterial small subunit ribosomal RNA
Source: RNAcentral
UUCCAGACUCCUACGGGAGGCAGCAGUAGGGAAUCUUUCACAAUGGGCGAAAGCCUGAUGGAGCAACGCCGCGUGCAGGAUGAAGGCCUUCGGGUUGUAAACUGCUUUUAUAAGCGAGAAAUAUGAUGGUAACUUAUGAAUAAGGAUCGGCUAACUACGUGCCAGCAGCCGCGGUAAUACGUAGGGGGCAAGCGUUAUCCGGAUUUACUGGGUGUAAAGGGAGCGUAGACGGCAGUGCAAGUCUGGAGUGAAAGGCGGGGGCUCAACCCCCGGACUGCUCUGGAAACUGUACGGCUGGAGUGCAGGAGAGGUAAGUGGAAUUCCUAGUGUAGCGGUGAAAUGCGUAGAUAUUAGGAGGAACACCAGUGGCGAAGGCGGCUUACUGGACUGUAACUGACGUUGAGGCUCGAAAGCGUGGGGAGCAAACAGGAUUAGAUACCCUGGUA